GUAACUGUAAUUAAUUCAUUAUGCUGUUCCAUGCCAGUGAAUAUUUAGCAUAAGUCUAGAUUUAUUGGCUGUUAUGAACAAUAUCAUCAUAAUAGUUCGUGGCUUGUGACUAAUUUCUUGAGUGCAGUGGUUCUAAAAUAUGGUUCUGGGAUCAGAAGAAUUAACACAGUUUAUCCCAUAAUCCCAAAUAUGAAAUAUCUUUACAAAUAUAAAUUAAAUAAACAAUAUACCACUUGUGGUAACUUUGAAAUUACAUUUGAAUAUUUAUUAUGUUUGCAAAAUUGAAAACUCGGGACUUAUUGAGGAAUAGCACCCAUGCACUUGAUAAAAAUGCAUAUUCAUAGGUUCCCCCACUAAACUACUGCAUCAGAAUCUUUGAUGGGGGGGGAGUCCAGAAAACUUUCAUAAAUCUGCCAGGUCAUUUAUGCAUUUUAAUGUUUGGGAAUAACUGCUUUGGUGGGUAUGUGUGUGGGUAUUGUAUAUAUUAUAAAACCAUCAGGUUUGAGACAUCUAAUUGUUAACUUUAUAAGACAACGACAGAUUGCUCUUUAUUCAUAGUCUUACCAGCAAUAUAUGAAUUUCCAUUAAUCCUCAUUCUUGUCAACACAUGGCAUUUUCAAUUUCCUAAUGUUUUUCCAUUAUUUUAGCUAUAAAGUAAUAUACCAUUAUGCUUGAAGUAGGAAGAGAGAAAAAAAAUGAGCACUAUUUUGGAUGGUCUUACUAUGAAUGCUGUUUUGUAAUCUGCUAUUUUCAUUUAUCAAUCUCUUUCUAUAUCAAUAAAUUUUUAUACCCAGUCUGUG
Molecule: long non-coding RNA, 800 nt
Filed under: Marmota monax (woodchuck)
Lineage: Eukaryota; Metazoa; Chordata; Mammalia; Rodentia; Sciuridae
Source: RNAcentral